RNAcentral lists this ribosomal RNA (493 nucleotides) under uncultured bacterium. RNAcentral describes it as "partial 16S ribosomal RNA". It matches the Rfam family "Bacterial small subunit ribosomal RNA", at positions 30 to 523 of the family's 1533-position model. The record is from RNAcentral.
AUUGAACGCUGGCGGCAUGCCUUACACAUGCCAGUCGAACGGUAACAGGUUAAGCUGACGAGUGGCGAGCGGGUGAGUAAUAUAUCGGAACGUGCCCAGUCGUGGGGGAUAACGUAGCGAAAGCUACGCUAAUACCGCAUACGAUCUACGGAUGAAAGCGGGGGAUCGCAAGACCUCGCGCGAUUGGAGCGGCCGAUACCAGAUUAGGUUGUUGGUGAGGUAAAAGCUCACCAAGCCUGCGAUCUGUAGCUGGUCUGAGAGGACGACCAGCCGCACUAGAACUGGAACACAGUCCAGGCUCCUACGGGAGGCAGCAGUGGGGAAUUUUGGACAAUGGACGCAAGUCUGAUCCAGCAAUGCCGCGUGCAGGACGAAGGCCUUCGGGUUGUAAACUGCUUUUGUACGGAACGAAACGGUGAGCUCUAAUACAGUUUGCUAAUGACGGUACCGUAAGAAUAAGCACCGGCUAACUACGUGCCAGCCGCCGCAGUAA